GACAACUCGUUCCUUUUGGGAACUGUGUUUUGCAUUUUUGAAGAGUCUCUACCUAAUGAGUUAAGGUGUAUUAGGACACCAAUAGAGAUUCAAAUCUAAGUUCGCUUGGAUAACUGGAGAUCAGGUAAGAGCAUGAAAUUCCCAAGGGGAAGGUGUUAGGCACCCCUCAGGAUCCACUAGUAUGGUUCCCGGCCAGACAUUUAUUGUGAAUUUAGCAAAUAGACAAGUAUUGGCUCAAAUAUUUGGGGAUUUAAGUUUAAGCACACAAAUGAAAGAAUAAUUAAAAGAAGAGUUUCAAAAAGUUUGCAAAUAAAGGGAAAGGGAAUCCUAGGUUUAUAUUUAAUAUGGAUCACCCCAUACAAUGUCCGGUAAACAUUCCUCAAUACACGUGACAUUAUCGCGUAGUCAUCAUAUCCAUAUCUACCUUUUCCACCCCAUUAAGGUAUUAAAAUGCAGAUCAAUCCCGAUUACUAUUGCAUGCUAUUACCCGUCUCAUUCCUAUCACUCCCGAAGACACUUAGGACUACUAUUCCUAGACGGGGAGGAUAUUAGGCUGAUUGGUUUCAAAGGAUAAAAAUCUAAGAUGACAUACAAAAACACAUAGUGCAUGUUGGGGAAGCACAUAAACAGAAAAAGGCUCAUAUACACCUCCUUUAACAAAAGCACAUAACUAGCAUGCCUUGUAUAUCUUUUUAGUUCUGAUUAAAGUACUAAAUAUGAGGAAAGUUAAUCAUUGAGGCAGAUUAGUUUAU
RNAcentral lists this long non-coding RNA (752 nucleotides) under Nicotiana benthamiana. RNAcentral describes it as "long non-coding RNA (NBEN_LNC020074)". The record is from RNAcentral. Lineage: Eukaryota; Viridiplantae; Streptophyta; Magnoliopsida; Solanales; Solanaceae.